AGCAGCCGCGGUAAUUCCAGCUCCAAUAGCGUAUAUUAAAGUUGUUGCAGUUAAAAAGCUCGUAGUUGAAUUUCGGGAUCAAAUUGUCGGUCGUGCCUCGGUACGAACUGGUAUUAUUGGUUCCUACCUUCUGAAGAACCGCGAUGUCAUUAAUUUGGUGUCGUGGGGAAUCAGGACUGUUACUUUGAAAAAAUUAGAGUGUUUAAAGCAGGCUUACGCUUGAAUACAUUAGCAUGGAAUAACGGAAUAGGACGUUUGAUUCUAUUUUGUUGGUUUCUAGGAUCGACGUAAUGAUUAAUAGGGAUAGUUGGGGGCAUUAGUAUUCAAUUGUCAGAGGUGAAAUUCUUGGAUUUAUUGAAGACUAACUACUGCGAAAGCAUUUGCCAAGGAUGUUUUCAUUAAUCAAGAACGAAAGUUAGGGGAUCGAAGACGAUCAGAUACCGUCGUAGUCUUAACCAUAAACUAUGCCGACUAGGGAUCGGAUGAUGUUAAUUUUUUAAUGACUCAUUCGGCGCCUUACGG
This 522-nucleotide ribosomal RNA is filed under the name uncultured Glomus. Its description in RNAcentral is "SSU rRNA". It matches the Rfam family "Eukaryotic small subunit ribosomal RNA", at positions 569 to 1093 of the family's 1831-position model. The record is from RNAcentral. Lineage: Eukaryota; Fungi; Glomeromycota; Glomeromycetes; Glomerales; Glomeraceae.